Molecule: ribosomal RNA, 393 nt
Filed under: uncultured bacterium
Lineage: Bacteria
Description: bacterial SSU rRNA
Rfam family: Bacterial small subunit ribosomal RNA
Source: RNAcentral
AUUGAACGCUGGCGGCAUGCCUUACACAUGCAAGUCGAACGGCAGCACGGGAGCAAUCCUGGUGGCGAGUGGCGAACGGGUGAGUAAUAUAUCGGAACGUGCCCAGUCGUGGGGAUAACGUAGCGAAAGCUACGCUAAUACCGCAUACGAUCUAUGGAUGAAAGCGGGGGAUCGCAAGACCUCGCGCGAUUGGAGCGGCCGAUAUCAGAUUAGGUAGUUGGUGAGGUAAAGGCUCACCAAGCCGACGAUCUGUAGCUGGUCUGAGAGGACGACCAGCCACACUGGGACUGAGACACGGCCCAGACUCCUACGGGAGGCAGCAGUGGGGAAUUUUGGACGAAUGGGCGCAAGCCUGAUCCAGCAAUGCCGCGUGCAGGAUGAAGGCCUUCGGUU